UUUUCCCUCCAAACAAACCAGGCAGAACAAAGAGAGGAGUGAUAUUUCAGGGUGACAUCCUGCUUAAUGUUAAGAGAAAACCGUAGUACAGAUUGUGGAUGCAGUGCAGACUGUGGAUGCAUUACUGAUGCAAAAUCAUCCAUUCAUCCAUGCAUCCAUCCAUCCAUUAUUCACCUGCAACCAGUGUAAACCUUUCCCUGCCUUGACAAUAAUAAAACCUUGGAACGGCACUGGAUCCUGUGUUUGAAUGUGCACACCACAUCAGAUGUUCAGUGAACCAACACCAUCAGUGAAUAAGAGUUUCUUCAACUUAAGUAAAGGAUCUGAAUACUUCUUCCACCACUGCUGGGUAGUUUCCAACCGAGAGCAACUUAUCUGUAGGAGCGAGCAUUCAAACAGGGCGUGGCUUGAAUACUGUGCUCUUAUUUUGAAAAGCAGAAAUGACGCCAUGCGUGAUUAAAGUCCAUUUGAAAAGUUGAAAAUGUUAGAAAGAUGUUCAC
Perca flavescens (yellow perch) is the source of this 500-nucleotide long non-coding RNA. RefSeq lists it as uncharacterized. Lineage: Eukaryota; Metazoa; Chordata; Actinopteri; Perciformes; Percidae. The record is from RefSeq and is a predicted model, not a curated record. The transcript is spliced from 3 exons.